GGGAGAAGAACCUGUCAGCUUAACCAAGGAUAAUUGCCUGGAAUCCAACCAAGAAAUUAAACUUGGUGAAACUUCUUGUGAGCUACAGGCAAGUCAUCCUUGGCUACCAAACAAGAUUCUUAUCU
This is a non-coding RNA of Gossypium raimondii (Peruvian cotton), 125 nucleotides long. NCBI's taxonomy places the organism in Eukaryota, Viridiplantae, Streptophyta, Magnoliopsida, Malvales, Malvaceae. The record is from Rfam.